UCCCAGACUCCUACGGGAGGCAGCAGUGGGGAAUAUUGCACAAUGGGGGGAACCCUGAUGCAGCGACGCCGCGUGGGUGAAGGAGUGCUUCGGCAUGUAAAGCCCUAUCGGCAGGGAAGAAGCAAGACGGUACCUGACUAAGAAGCCCCGGCUAACUACGUGCCAGCAGCCGCGGUAAUACGUAGGGGGCAAGCGUUAUCCGGAUGUACUGGGUGUAAAGGGGGCGCAGACGGCAGCGCAAGCCAGGGGUGAAAGCCCGGGGCCCAACCCCAGGACUGCUCUUGGAACUGCGCGGCUGGAGUGCAGGAGGGGCAGGCGGAAUUCCUGGUGUAGCGGUGAAAUGCGUAGAUAUCAGGAGGAACACCGGUGGCGAAGGCGGCCUGCUGGACUGCGACUGACGUUGAGGCCCGAAAGCGUGGGGAGCAAACAGGAUUAGAUACCCCCGUAC
This 448-nucleotide ribosomal RNA is filed under the name uncultured bacterium. Its description in RNAcentral is "bacterial SSU rRNA". It matches the Rfam family "Bacterial small subunit ribosomal RNA", at positions 329 to 793 of the family's 1533-position model. The record is from RNAcentral.